UACGAAGGGGGCUAGCGUUGCUCGGAAUCACUGGGCGUAAAGCGCACGUAGGCGGACUCUUAAGUCGGUGGUGAAAUCCUGGAGCUCAACUCCAGAACUGCCUUUGAUACUGAGGAUCUUGAGUUCGGGAGAGGUGAGUGGAACUGCGAGUGUAGAGGUGAAAUUCGUAGAUAUUCGCAAGAACACCGGUGGCGAAGGCGGCUCUCUGGACCGUAACUGACGCUGAGGCGCGAAAGCGUGGGGAGCAAACAGG
RNAcentral lists this ribosomal RNA (253 nucleotides) under uncultured bacterium. RNAcentral's name for it is "partial 16S ribosomal RNA". It matches the Rfam family "Bacterial small subunit ribosomal RNA", at positions 524 to 776 of the family's 1533-position model. The record is from RNAcentral.